GGGCGUUAAGUUGCAGGGUAUAGACCCGAAACCCGGUGAUCUAGCCAUGGGCAGGUUGAAGGUUGGGUAACACUAACUGGAGGACCGAACCGACUAAUGUUGAAAAAUUAGCGGAUGACUUGUGGCUGGGGGUGAAAGGCCAAUCAAACCGGGAGAUAGCUGGUUCUCCCCGAAAGCUAUUUAGGUAGCGCCUCGUGAACUCAUCUUCGGGGGUAGAGCACUGUUUCGGCUAGGGGGUCAUCCCGACUUACCAACCCGAUGCAAACUACGAAUACCGAAGAAUGUUAUCACGGGAGACACACGGCGGGUGCUAACGUCCGUCGUGAAGAGGGAAACAACCCAGACCGCCAGCUAAGGUCCCAAAGUCAUGGUUAAGUGGGAAACGAUGUGGGAAGGCACAGACAGCCAGGAUGUUGGCUUAGAAGCAGCCAUCAUUUAAAGAAAGCGUAAUAGCUCACUGGUCGAGUCGGCCUGCGCGGA
RNAcentral lists this ribosomal RNA (480 nucleotides) under Klebsiella pneumoniae. RNAcentral describes it as "partial 23S ribosomal RNA". It matches the Rfam family "Bacterial large subunit ribosomal RNA", at positions 690 to 1167 of the family's 2925-position model. Lineage: Bacteria; Pseudomonadati; Pseudomonadota; Gammaproteobacteria; Enterobacterales; Enterobacteriaceae. The record is from RNAcentral.